This 1258-nucleotide ribosomal RNA is filed under the name Chryseobacterium sp. RNAcentral's name for it is "bacterial SSU rRNA". It matches the Rfam family "Bacterial small subunit ribosomal RNA", at positions 60 to 1325 of the family's 1533-position model. Lineage: Bacteria; Pseudomonadati; Bacteroidota; Flavobacteriia; Flavobacteriales; Weeksellaceae. The record is from RNAcentral.
AGCCGAGCGGUAGAGAUUCUUCGGAAUCUUGAGAGCGGCGCACGGGUGCGGAACACGUGUGCAACCUACCUUUAUCAGGGGGAUAGCCUUUCGAAAGGAAGAUUAAUACCCCAUAAUAUAUUGAAUGGCAUCAUUCGAUAUUGAAAACUCCGGUGGAUAGAGAUGGGCACGCGCAAGAUUAGAUAGUUGGUGAGGUAACGGCUCACCAAGUCAAUGAUCUUUAGGGGGCCUGAGAGGGUGAUCCCCCACACUGGUACUGAGACACGGACCAGACUCCUACGGGAGGCAGCAGUGAGGAAUAUUGGACAAUGGGUGAGAGCCUGAUCCAGCCAUCCCGCGUGAAGGACGACGGCCCUAUGGGUUGUAAACUUCUUUUGUAUAGGGAUAAACCUUUCCACGUGUGGAAAGCUGAAGGUACUAUACGAAUAAGCACCGGCUAACUCCGUGCCAGCAGCCGCGGUAAUACGGAGGGUGCAAGCGUUAUCCGGAUUUAUUGGGUUUAAAGGGUCCGUAGGCGGACUCGUAAGUCCAGUGGUGAAAUCUCAUAGCUUAACUAUGAAACUGCCAUUGAUACUGCGGGUCUUGAGUAAGGUAGAGGUAGCUGGAAUAAGUAGUGUAGCGGUGAAAUGCAUAGAUAUUACUUAGAACACCAAUUGCGAAGGCAGGUUACCAUGUCUUAACUGACGCUGAUGGACGAAAGCGUGGGGAGCGAACAGGAUUAGAUACCCUGGUAGUCCACGCCGUAAACGAUGCUAACUCGUUUUUGGGGCUUUAAGCUUCAGAGACUAAGCGAAAGUGAUAAGUUAGCCACCUGGGGAGUACGAACGCAAGUUUGAAACUCAAAGGAAUUGACGGGGGCCCGCACAAGCGGUGGAUUAUGUGGUUUAAUUCGAUGAUACGCGAGGAACCUUACCAAGGCUUAAAUGGGAAUUGAUCGGUUUAGAAAUAGACCUUCCUUCGGGCAAUUUUCAAGGUGCUGCAUGGUUGUCGUCAGCUCGUGCCGUGAGGUGUUAGGUUAAGUCCUGCAACGAGCGCAACCCCUGUCACUAGUUGCUAACAUUCAGUUGAGGACUCUAGUGAGACUGCCUACGCAAGUAGAGAGGAAGGUGGGGAUGACGUCAAAUCAUCACGGCCCUUACGCCUAGGGCCUCACACGUAAUACAAUGGCCGGUACAGAGGGCAGCUACACAGCGAUGUGAUGCAAAUCUCGAAAGCCGGUCUCAGUUCGGAUUGGAGUCUGCAACUCGACUCUAUGAAG